Molecule: ribosomal RNA, 426 nt
Filed under: uncultured bacterium
Lineage: Bacteria
Description: bacterial SSU rRNA
Rfam family: Bacterial small subunit ribosomal RNA
Source: RNAcentral
UGGGGAAUUUUGGACAAUGGGGGCAACCCUGAUCCAGCAAUGCCGCGUGUGUGAAGAAGGCCUUCGGGUUGUAAAGCACUUUUGUCCGGAAAGAAAUCCUCUGGGUUAAUACCCCGGGGGGAUGACGGUACCGGAAGAAUAAGCACCGGCUCACUACGUGCCAGCAGCCGCGGUAAUACGUAGGGUGCGAGCGUUAAUCGGAAUUACUGGGCGUAAAGCGUGCGUAGGUGGUUUGUUAAGUCUGAUGUGAAAGCCCUGGGCUCAACCUGGGAACUGCAUUGGAAACUGGCUUACUAGAGUGCGGUAGAGGGGUGUGGAAUUCCCGGUGUAGCAGUGAAAUGCGUAGAUAUCGGGAGGAACAUCUGUGGCGAAGGCGACACCCUGGACCAGCACUGACACUGAGGCACGAAAGCGUGGGGAGCAAAC